CCUACGGGAGGCAGCAGUGAGGAAUAUUGGUCAAUGGCCGAGAGGCUGAACCAGCCAAGUCGCGUGAGGGAAGACGGCCCUACGGGUUGUAAACCUCUUUUGUCGGGGAGCAAAGCGAGUCACGUGUGACUCAUUGAGAGUACCCGAAGAAAAAGCAUCGGCUAACUCCGUGCCAGCAGCCGCGGUAAUACGGAGGAUGCGAGCGUUAUCCGGAUUUCUUGGGUUUAAAGGGUGCGUAGGCGGACUGGAAAGUCAGCGGUAAAAUUGAGAGGCUCAACCUCUUUCCGCCGUUGAAACUGUCGGUCUUGAGUGGGCGAGAAGUAUGCGGAAUGCGUGGUGUAGCGGUGAAAUGCAUAGAUAUCACGCAGAACUCCGAUUGCGAAGGCAGCAUACCGGCGCCCGACUGACGCUGAGGCACGAAAGCGUGGGUAUCGAACAGGAUUAGAUACCCGUGUAGUC
RNAcentral lists this ribosomal RNA (459 nucleotides) under uncultured bacterium. RNAcentral describes it as "partial 16S ribosomal RNA". It matches the Rfam family "Bacterial small subunit ribosomal RNA", at positions 338 to 795 of the family's 1533-position model. The record is from RNAcentral.